This 673-nucleotide long non-coding RNA is filed under the name Cucumis sativus (cucumber). RNAcentral's name for it is "long non-coding RNA (CSAT_LNC001182)". The record is from RNAcentral. Lineage: Eukaryota; Viridiplantae; Streptophyta; Magnoliopsida; Cucurbitales; Cucurbitaceae.
GACACCAAAUUUUUUUGUUCAUAUAUAUAAUAAAAAAGAAUAAUGGUUUUAUAUCUAAGUUUAAUUUUAGAUUUUAUAACGGUUAGUAAACUAAAAUAUACCAUUAUAACCAUAAAAUGGUUACCAUAUUUAUAACCAUAGAAAUAAUAAUUAUUAUUAUUAAUACAUUUCUAAUAUAUUGAAACAUUAAUUAUAAAUUACAACAGUAGACAUUCAAUAAUAACACAAAUAUCCUAAAAUGAAGCACAAAUCAUAACUAUAUAAAUUCGACCCGUCAUCGCAAGCAUUAAGAGCAUCUUGAAUCAUCUUACAGCAGUCUUCUACCCUUUGGUUGGGUGGAUCAAAUUCAGUUACAAUAUCAACACAUCCUAAUAAUUUGUCUUCACUUGCAAUUGGUGGAGGUGGUUGAUCAGCAGUGACAACAGAAAAGAACAGAAGGCUGAGACAGAAGAAGAAGAAGAAGAAAAGAGGAAGUGAAGAGGUUUUGUUGGAAGAAAACAUUUGGAAGAACCCAAAAAAAGAAAUCCUUUGAGAGAUGUUUUUAGAGGGGUGAAAAGAGUGUGGUAAUGGGAAAGGUUUCUAUAGGGUUUUAAGGAAAGAGGGUGUGCAUCUUUACAGGGUCCUGUAGGAUAAACUCAUUGUUAAUUAACUUAGGUUCAUUAUCUAAAUUGAU